AAAUGAACUUGAACAGACAAUUGCAUUCGUUUAUACGUACACGUACAUAUUGUCCAUCUACUCCAUCCUUUCAUCCAUUGUAUGAAUUAUUCAGCGAUGAAAUGAACAAGAAGAAGGAAAUAGUCAUAAGCUGAUCAGAUUGUAGUUACUGUGGACAAUUCUUUUGAUAAAGAUUUUUUCUCAGACGACAUCGCAGUUAUCUUACCGUCUAGUUCAAGUAAAAACUUGUGUUUUGUUUUUACAGCGACUAAAGAUAGCUAUUAGAAACUCAUAGUCAUUCUACUUCAACC
RNAcentral lists this long non-coding RNA (290 nucleotides) under Mytilus galloprovincialis (Mediterranean mussel). Lineage: Eukaryota; Metazoa; Mollusca; Bivalvia; Mytilida; Mytilidae. The record is from RNAcentral.